ACGUGGAUUAGUAGUAUUAUGUUGUGUGUGUAAACCGUGAACCAUAGACUGGGAAAGGAAAGCGGAUGAACGUCACAAGAGUAGCAGAGAUUGCAAUACCGCCCCCUUUUGUGUGGGUUGAUUACGAUAAUGUUGCUGUCAAUGAAUGGAUGUCUACAAACUCCGACAGGUGGCGGUAUACCAAUAGCGACCAAUGAACAAAGAGCGGGCCGUGGUUAAAACGAUAUCGGAGUACGAGUAAGACAUCUCCCGAUCAAAGAAAGAGAUCGAACGUCUACAAAGGCUAACGUUACUAACGUUAGAUGUCAUCACACAGCCUGACAUAGUAAUAUAAAGCAGAUCCCCAGCAGCUAGUAACUCUCACUGUCCGAGAAGCAGAAGUUCCCCCUGAGGAGCAGCACUGUGAGCAGGAGUGGAUCCCAGGUCUGGGGCAGGAGGACCCAGAGCCAACACAGGUUGAAGAGGAACAGGAGUUGUUUGGGAUUGGUCAGGAGAAAGAGCAGAUUCAGAGGCUGGAGUCUGAUACCAAAGAUUCAUAUUAACUUCUCCCUUUGUGAAAAGUGAUUGGGAUCAGUACCCACCCCAGCCCUCAAGUAUUCACCAAACCCAAACCGUGGAGAAUGACUUACUACCCACUAAAACAACAGAAGAGAUCCAAAUAGAACAUGGAGAGGGCUAUGGAGUAUCAGAACCAAACAGUGAAUUACAGCCCCUCUCCAGUAAAUUCAGACUGUUCUCCAGCUCAGAAUAAAAACAGUGAAUGUGUCGAUAGUUGUACAUCAACUCUGAGAAAACAAAAGAUCUCUGGGGAGAAACCGUUUAACUGCCAUGUGUGCAGUAAAUGUUUCCUUACAGAGGAAUACUGUCAAAGACAUGCAAAUACAUACAGGGGAUAAAUAUUUGGGACAAAAUAACUUUUGACUAAUAGAAGUGAAAUACUUAUUCAAAUUGGGGAACUUGAUACAUUUCAUGCUUUCAUUUUUAAAUGACAAAACAUAUGAAAAUGCCCUCAAAUAUAAAGGUGACAUUCUGUACUGUCGCCUCAUAUGGAACAUUUGAUCCCAAAUACAAAAUGCUGGCGUAUGGAGCCGAUAUUAAAAUGUGAGCUUCACUGUCCAAUACAUGGAGGGAAGUGGACAUGCUCACAUGCUGACCAUAUACAUGCUUACUGUGUGACCAGUUUUAUAGCUCAGAAUAGACUAAACAUCCACCAGCUAGUUCACACAGGGGAGAAGUUUUUUAGCUGCAAUGGGUGUGGCAAAUCUUUCCCUAGGAAGGGAUAUUGACAUACAUAUGAGGAUACACAUAUGGUAAAGAACUGUGUUGCCGUGUUUGGCAUAAAGGCUUCCAUCAAACAGAGCAUAUGAAGACAAGACCCAAGGCUGGAGGUGCUCUGUGAGGGAAAUAGGAUUCAGUCAGAAUAUCUGAAGGAACAGUUUAACAAUGUAGGACAUUCUCCUCAUGUCACUACUGUUAGUUGAUUUAAUCUAAUGUAUUGAUUGAUGAAUGAGGGUAAUUGACAAUUUGCUAUUUUUGUGUCCAAGGAUAAUAUUUUAUAUAUAAAAAACAAUCUUAUUACAA
Long non-coding RNA from Salmo salar (Atlantic salmon), 1581 nucleotides. RefSeq lists it as uncharacterized. NCBI's taxonomy places the organism in Eukaryota, Metazoa, Chordata, Actinopteri, Salmoniformes, Salmonidae. The record is from RefSeq and is a predicted model, not a curated record.